UACCUGCGGAGGGAUCAUUACUGAGUUACCGCUCUAUAACCCUUUGUGAACAUACCUACAACUGUUGCUUCGGCGGGUAGGCCGUCCCCUGAAAAGGACGCCUCCCGGCCCGGACCGGACCCCCUGUGGGGCCGGACUCGGCGCCCGCCGGAGGAUAACCAAACGCUAUUUUAACGACGUUUCUUCUGAGUGGCAUAAGCAAAAUAAUCAAAACUUUUAACAACGGAUCUCUUGGUUCUGGCAUCGAUGAAGAACGCAGCGAAAUGCGAUAAGUAAUGUGAAUUGCAGAAUUCAGUGAAUCAUCGAAUCUUUGAACGCACAUUGCGCCCGCCAGCAUUCUGGCGGGCAUGCCUGUUCGAGCGUCAUUUCAACCCUCAAGCUCUGCUUGGUGUUGGGGCUCUACGGUCGACGUAGGCCCUCAAAGGUAGUGGCGGACCCUCCCGGAGCCUCCUUUGCGUAGUAACAUUUCGUCUCGCACUGGGAUCCGGAGGGACUCUUGCCGUAAAACCCCCCAAUUUUUCAAGGUUGACCUCGGAUCAGGUAGGAAUACCCGCUGAACUUAAGCAUAUCAAA
RNAcentral lists this ribosomal RNA (573 nucleotides) under Colletotrichum boninense. RNAcentral's name for it is "eukaryotic LSU rRNA". The stretch from base 212 to 365 matches the Rfam family "5.8S ribosomal RNA". Lineage: Eukaryota; Fungi; Ascomycota; Sordariomycetes; Glomerellales; Glomerellaceae. The record is from RNAcentral.